This 250-nucleotide ribosomal RNA is filed under the name uncultured bacterium. RNAcentral describes it as "partial 16S ribosomal RNA". It matches the Rfam family "Bacterial small subunit ribosomal RNA", at positions 807 to 1058 of the family's 1533-position model. The record is from RNAcentral.
CGGUGGGCGCUAGGUGUGAGUCCCUUCCACGGGGUUCGUGCCGUAGCUAACGCAUUAAGCGCCCCGCCUGGGGAGUACGGCCGCAAGGCUAAAACUCAAAGGAAUUGACGGGGGCCCGCACAAGCGGCGGAGCAUGUGGAUUAAUUCGAUGCAACGCGAAGAACCUUACCUGGGCUUGACAUACACCGGAUCGGGCUAGAGAUAGUCUUUCCCUUGUGCUGGUGUACAGGUGGUGCAUGGCUGUCGUCAG